Molecule: long non-coding RNA, 341 nt
Filed under: Elaeis guineensis (African oil palm)
Lineage: Eukaryota; Viridiplantae; Streptophyta; Magnoliopsida; Arecales; Arecaceae
Description: long non-coding RNA (EGUI_LNC059408)
Source: RNAcentral
GGAGUGGACCACUUGUAGUAGAAGUUCGGCUCUCACAGGAGCUCGGUUGGAAUCCUGAAGGCGGUCGACCACCAUAGAAACUUGGAUGGAGUCUGGUUACUGUAGAAAUCUCACCGUUGGAGAAGCUCGGAUAUUGACGAAGUCUGGAAGAAGUUCAGAGUAGGGUCAUCCACGGUCGGAAGAAGUCUGGAAGGGAUUCAGAGAAUAGUUGAUCACUGUAGAAGGUCGGCUGAUAGUGAAGCCUAGAGAGCCUUUAGAGCAGCCUGGUAGAUGGAUGGAGAAGCUCAUUGUUGGAGAAGUCUGAAAGCUCGAACGGUCGAGGGGGUUCAGAGAGACGCCAC